CCUACGGGGCGCUGCAGUGGGGAAUAUUGGACAAUGGGCGAAAGCCUGAUCCAGCCAUGCCGCGUGUGUGAAGAAGGCCUUCGGGUUGUAAAGCACUUUCAGUGGGGAAGAAAGCCUUGGGGCUAAUACCUUCGAGGAAGGACAUCACCCACAGAAGAAGCACCGGCUAACUCCGUGCCAGCAGCCGCGGUAAUACGGAGGGUGCGAGCGUUAAUCGGAAUUACUGGGCGUAAAGCGCGCGUAGGCGGUCUGAUAAGCCGGUUGUGAAAGCCCCGGGCUCAACCUGGGAACGGCAUCCGGAACUGUCAGGCUAGAGUGCAGGAGAGGAAGGUAGAAUUCCCGGUGUAGCGGUGAAAUGCGUAGAGAUCGGGAGGAAUACCAGUGGCGAAGGCGGCCUUCUGGACUGACACUGACGCUGAGGUGCGAAAGCGUGGGUAGCAAACAGGAUUAGAUACCCGUGUAGUC
RNAcentral lists this ribosomal RNA (465 nucleotides) under Vreelandella stevensii. RNAcentral describes it as "partial 16S ribosomal RNA". It matches the Rfam family "Bacterial small subunit ribosomal RNA", at positions 338 to 795 of the family's 1533-position model. Lineage: Bacteria; Pseudomonadati; Pseudomonadota; Gammaproteobacteria; Oceanospirillales; Halomonadaceae. The record is from RNAcentral.